Molecule: long non-coding RNA, 267 nt
Filed under: Mustela putorius furo (domestic ferret)
Lineage: Eukaryota; Metazoa; Chordata; Mammalia; Carnivora; Mustelidae
Description: lncRNA (ENSMPUG00000030794.1)
Source: RNAcentral
UGCUUCCCCCUGGUGGUUCCUCUCCUGGAGGUGCAGGGAUGUCUUUUGGUCCAGGUGGAGAUUCAGAACCCACUGCUCACAUCCUGAUUCCCUGAUCCAUGGACUGCUGGACUAAGGGGAGCCAUUAAAUCACCAUAUGACCUGACUGCCUGCAAGGACUGGGUGCCAAAUGAACAACCAUGCCAUAGAAUUGGGCAUUCACAGCAGCUGUCCAUCACCAACCAGAGGAGAUAAAUUUUAGAUCUGGCUUUAACAGGUCCUAAAGGA